AGAACGAACGCUGGCGGCAGGCCUAACACAUGCAAGUCGAGCGCCCAGCAAUGGGAGCGGCGGACGGGUGAGUAACACGUGGGAAUAUGCCUUUCGGUUCGGCACAACUCAGGGAAACUUGAGCUAAUUCCGGAUACGCCCUUACGGGGAAAGAUUUAUCGCCGAAAGAUUAGCCCGCGUUGGAUUAGCUAGUUGGUGAGGUAACGGCCCACCAAGGCGACGAUCCAUAGCUGGUUUGAGAGAACGACCAGCCACACUGGGACUGAGACACGGCCCAGACUCCUACGGGAGGCAGCAGUGGGGAAUCUUGGACAAUGGGGGAAACCCUGAUCCAGCCAUGCCGCGUGAGUGAUGAAGGCCUUCGGGUUGUAAAACUCUUUUGGCGGGGACGAUAAUGACGGUACCCGCAGAAUAAGCUCCGGCUAACUUCGCGCCAGCAGCCGC
Molecule: ribosomal RNA, 444 nt
Filed under: uncultured bacterium
Lineage: Bacteria
Description: SSU rRNA
Rfam family: Bacterial small subunit ribosomal RNA
Source: RNAcentral